AUAGGGGAGCCGAAGGGAAACCGAGUCUUAACUGGGCGUUAAGUUGCAGGGUAUAGACCCGAAACCCGGUGAUCUAGCCAUGGGCAGGUUGAAGGUUGGGUAACACUAACUGGAGGACCGAACCGACUAAUGUUGAAAAAUUAGCGGAUGACUUGUGGCUGGGGGUGAAAGGCCAAUCAAACCGGGAGAUAGCUGGUUCUCCCCGAAAGCUAUUUAGGUAGCGCCUCGUGAAUUCAUCUCCGGGGGUAGAGCACUGUUUCGGCAAGGGGGUCAUCCCGACUUACCAACCCGAUGCAAACUGCGAAUACCGGAGAAUGUUAUCACGGGAGACACACGGCGGGUGCUAACGUCCGUCGUGAAGAGGGAAACAACCCAGACCGCCAGCUAAGGUCCCAAAGUCAUGGUUAAGUGGGAAACGAUGUGGGAAGGCCCAGACAGCCAGGAUGUUGGCUUAGAAGCAGCCAUCAUUUAAAGAAAGCGUAAUAGCUCACUGGUCGAGUCGGCCUGCGCGGAAGAUGUAACGGGGCUAAACCAUGCACCGAAGCUGCGGCAGCGACACUAUGUGUUGUUGGGUAGGGGAGCG
This 583-nucleotide ribosomal RNA is filed under the name Escherichia coli. RNAcentral describes it as "partial 23S ribosomal RNA". It matches the Rfam family "Bacterial large subunit ribosomal RNA", at positions 657 to 1238 of the family's 2925-position model. The record is from RNAcentral. Lineage: Bacteria; Pseudomonadati; Pseudomonadota; Gammaproteobacteria; Enterobacterales; Enterobacteriaceae.